RNAcentral lists this ribosomal RNA (245 nucleotides) under uncultured bacterium. RNAcentral describes it as "partial 16S ribosomal RNA". It matches the Rfam family "Bacterial small subunit ribosomal RNA", at positions 524 to 768 of the family's 1533-position model. The record is from RNAcentral.
GACGAACCGAGCGAACGUUAUUCGGAAUCACUGGGCUUAAAGGGCGCGUAGGCGGGCCAUCAAGUCAGGGGUGAAAGCCCCCAGCUCAACUGGGGAAGUGCCUCUGAUACUGGUGGCCUCGAGGGAGGUAGGGGCGUGCGGAACUUCCGGUGGAGCGGUGAAAUGCGUAGAUAUCGGAAGGAACACCGGUGGCGAAAGCGGCGCGCUGGACCUCUUCUGACGCUGAGGCGCGAAAGCCAGGGGAG